Molecule: ribosomal RNA, 121 nt
Filed under: uncultured bacterium
Lineage: Bacteria
Description: partial 16S ribosomal RNA
Rfam family: Bacterial small subunit ribosomal RNA
Source: RNAcentral
UGGGGGGAAACCCUGAAGCAGCAACGCCGCGUGGAGGAUGAAGGUUUUCGGAUUGUAAACUCCUUUUGUUAGAGAAGAUAAUGACGGUAUCUAACGAAUAAGCACCGGCUAAUUCCGUGCC